UAGUGAUUAACGCGAAGAACCUUACCUGGGCUAGACAACGGCGGACAGUCCUAGAAAUAGGGCCUUCCCUUCGGGGACCGCCGGUUCAGGUGCUGCAUGGCUGUCGUCAGCUCGUGCCGUGAGGUGUUGGGUUAAGUCCCGCAACGAGCGCAACCCUCGCCCUUAGUUGCCACCAUUCAGUUGGGCACUCUAGGGGGACUGCCGGCGUUAAGCCGGAGGAAGGUGGGGACGACGUCAAGUCAUCAUGGCCCUUAUGUCCAGGGCCACACACGUGCUACAAUGGGCGGUACAAAGGGUCGCGAACCCGCGAGGGGGAGCCAAUCCCAAAAAGCCGCUCUCAGUUCAGAUUGGAGUCUGCAACUCGACUCCAUGAAGUUGGAAUCGCUAGUAAUCGCGGAUCAGCACGCCGCGGUGAAUACGUUCCCGGGCCUUGUCACACCGAAUCGAAUUC
RNAcentral lists this ribosomal RNA (451 nucleotides) under uncultured soil bacterium. RNAcentral describes it as "bacterial SSU rRNA". It matches the Rfam family "Bacterial small subunit ribosomal RNA", at positions 951 to 1384 of the family's 1533-position model. The record is from RNAcentral.